GACGAACGCUGGCGGCGUGCCUAAUACAUGCAAGUCGAACGCUUCCUACCGGUGCUUGCACCGGGAAAGAAGAGUGGCGGACGGGUGAGUAACACGUGGGUAACCUACCUACAAGCGGGGGAUAACAUUCGGAAACGGAUGCUAAUACCGCAUAGAUCUUUUUGUCUCCUGGCAGAAAGAAGAAAGACGGUUUCGGCUGUCACUUGUAGAUGGACCCGCGGCGCAUUAGUUAGUUGGUGAGGUAAUGGCUCACCAAGACGAUGAUGCGUAGCCGACCUGAGAGGGUGAUCGGCCACACUGGGACUGAGACACGGCCCAGACUCCUGCGGGAGGCAGCAGUAGGGAAUCUUCCGCAAUGGACGAAAGUCUGACGGUGGAACGCCGCGUGAGUGAAGAAGGUUUUCGGAUCGUAAAACUCUGUUGUUAGAGAAGAACAAGGAUGAGAGUAACUGCUCGUCCCUUGACGGUAUCUAACCAGAAAGCCAUGGCUAACUACGUGCCAGCAGCCGCAGUAA
This 515-nucleotide ribosomal RNA is filed under the name uncultured bacterium. Its description in RNAcentral is "partial 16S ribosomal RNA". It matches the Rfam family "Bacterial small subunit ribosomal RNA", at positions 28 to 523 of the family's 1533-position model. The record is from RNAcentral.